AAACAAUUAACCUACACCUAUCAGCGCCAGGGAAUUACGAGCUAUGCUUAAAACCCAAAGGACUUGACGGUGUCCCAUCCCCCUAGAGGAGCCUGUUCUAUAAUCGAUGAUCCCCGAUAUACCCGACCACUCCUAGCUCUUCAGUCUGUAUACCUCCGUCGGAAGCUUACCAUGUAAACGCCAAAGUAGGCUUAAUGAUACCAUCAGCACGUCAGGUCAAGGUGCAACUCACGGAGUGGAAAGUAAUGGGCUACAGUUUCUAAACUAGAACAAACGAAAGACUAUGUGAAAUCAUAAUCAUGAAGGUGGAUUUAGUAGUAAAAAGAAAAUAGAGUGUUCUUUUUAAUUAGGCCCUGGGACGCGUACACACCGCCCGUCACCCUCUUCGAUACUUUACUUCUAGUUUAUAACCUGUCACCCUAAAUUAGAAGAGGUAAGUCGUAACAUGGUAAGUGUACUGGAAAGUGCACUUGGCAUAU
This 479-nucleotide ribosomal RNA is filed under the name Amnirana galamensis (Galam white-lipped frog). RNAcentral's name for it is "partial 12S ribosomal RNA". It matches the Rfam family "Bacterial small subunit ribosomal RNA", at positions 801 to 1533 of the family's 1533-position model. Lineage: Eukaryota; Metazoa; Chordata; Amphibia; Anura; Ranidae. The record is from RNAcentral.